RNA transcript from Ricinus communis (castor bean), 2944 nucleotides. It is a transcript of the gene named cryptochrome-1, with no coding region annotated. The transcript has 5 exons. Lineage: Eukaryota; Viridiplantae; Streptophyta; Magnoliopsida; Malpighiales; Euphorbiaceae. The record is from RefSeq and is a predicted model, not a curated record.
AACCAAUCCCAUUCACUCACUCUCCUCUCCGAAGCAUAACCCAUCUCUCUCUCUCUCUUCACAGCCAAAAGGCAAGGCCUUUUGAUGCAAAAUAACCAAAAACACUAAUAACCUAAAAUUCAUUUUAUUGAAAAACAAAUAUAAUUAUCACUGUAGCAGCAGCAAAUACAAUAAUAACAGUAACCAAAGUUCAAGAUAAUUGCAUAAUUCAUCACCCACCUUCCAUUAAUCACAUAUAUUUUUUAUUUUUUUUUAUUUUCUUUGCUUAGCAAGAGUAGCAAAGAUAAUAUUUUUACAUUAAUUAGAAUUCCUUGGUGACCUUUAAAGAAAGAAAAGAAAGAAAAACAUGUGAUAUAUUAUAUAGUUGAUAUAGUAGUUUGGUUGGUGUAUAUUUGUGUUUGUAGGAGAGAUGUCAGGUGGUGGUUGUAGCAUAGUUUGGUUCAGGAGAGAUCUAAGAGUAGAAGAUAAUCCAGCACUUGCAGCUGGUGUUAGAGCUGGGGCUGUUGUUGCCGUCUUUGUAUGGGCUCCUGAGGAAGAAGGUCAUUAUUACCCUGGUAGAGUAUCUAGGUGGUGGCUUAAGCAAAGUUUGGCUCAUUUGGAUUCUUCUUUGAGAAGUCUUGGCACUGUUCUUGUUACUAAAAGAUCAACUGAUAGUGUUUCUUCCCUUCUUGAAGUUGUUAAAUCUACUGGUGCUACUCAACUCUUCUUCAACCACUUGUAUGAUCCAAUUUCACUGGUUAGGGAUCAUCGGGCAAAGGAGGUUUUGACUGCACAAGGCAUAGCUGUAAGAUCUUUUAACGCGGAUUUGCUAUAUGAACCCUGGGAAGUUAAUGAUGUCCAAGGACGCCCCUUCUCUACCUUUGCUGCUUUUUGGGAAAGAUGCCUUAGCAUGCCUUAUGAUCCAGAGGCUCCACUUCUCCCACCUAAGAGAAUUAUUUCAGGUGAUAUAUCUAGAUGCCCUUCAGACACACUGAUAUUUGAAGAUGAAUCAGAAAAGGGAAGCAAUGCACUGCUUGCUCGAGCAUGGUCACCUGGGUGGAGCAAUGCUAAUAAAGCGCUAACUACAUUCAUCAAUGGGCCACUUAUUGAGUACUCAAAGAAUCGUAGAAAGGCUGAUAGUGCUACAACCUCCUUUCUUUCUCCUCAUUUGCAUUUUGGUGAGGUUAGUGUGAGAAAGGUCUUACAUCUUGUUCGCAUUAAGCAAGUUCUGUGGGCAAAUGAAGGGAACAAGGCUGGUGAAGAAAGUGUGAACUUGUUUCUUAAAUCAAUUGGUCUUAGGGAAUAUUCAAGAUACCUGAGUUUUAACCAUCCUUAUAGUCAUGAACGCCCUCUUCUUGGGCAUCUUAAGUUUUUUCCUUGGAUUGUGAAUGAAGGCUAUUUUAAGGCUUGGAGACAAGGUAGAACUGGUUAUCCAUUGGUUGAUGCAGGAAUGAGAGAGUUGUGGGCCACUGGUUGGCUGCAUGAUCGAAUACGAGUAGUUGUUUCUAGUUUCUUUGUAAAGGUUCUACAGCUUCCAUGGAGAUGGGGAAUGAAGUAUUUCUGGGAUACCCUCUUGGAUGCAGAUUUAGAGAGUGAUGCUCUUGGUUGGCAGUACAUAUCUGGUACUCUUCCUGAUGGCCGAGAGUUUGAUCGUAUAGACAACCCACAGUUUGAGGGAUACAAAUUUGAUCCCCAUGGAGAAUAUGUACGACGGUGGCUUCCUGAACUUGCCAGGCUGCCAACUGAAUGGAUACAUCAUCCAUGGAAUGCACCUGAAUCUGUACUCCAAGCUGCUGGAAUUGAGCUAGGAUCAAAUUACCCUCUCCCCAUUGUAGGGAUAGAUGCAGCUAAAGUCAGGUUGCAAGAAGCACUUUCAGAAAUGUGGCAGCACGAAGCCGCUUCCAGAGCUGCUAUUGAGAAUGGGACUGAAGAAGGUCUAGGAGACUCUUCUGAAUCAGCUCCAAUUGCCUUCCCUCAAGAUAUACAAAUGGAAGAAAACCUUGAACCUAUAAGAAACAAUCCUCCUAUUCCAAUUCGCCGUUAUGAGGAUCAGAUGGUUCCAAGCAUGACUUCUUCUUUGCUAAGAGUUGAAGAAGAAGAAACUUCGUCAGAUCUUCGAAAUGCUGCAGAAGAUAGCAGAGCUGAGGUGCCAAGAGAUGUAAAUGUCAAUCAAGAACAAAGAAGAAACCUUGGGGUUGCACAAGCUUUUCGUAGUAACAACUUACCAAAUGUUAAUAUUCUCAGAGGUCUGCCAAAUACUGAGGAUUCAACAGCAGAAUCUUCGAGUAGUACUAGGAGAGAGAGGGAUGGAGGUAUAGUUCCAGUGUGGUCUCCUCCAAGCACUAGUUACUCAGAGCAGUUUGCUGGUGAUGAAAACGGUAUUGGAACCAGUUCUUCUUACUUGCAAAGGCAUCCGCAAUCUCACCAGAUAAUUAAUUGGAGGCGGCUGUCUCAGACUGGGUAAGAAGUAAGAACCCUGAAGGAUUGGCAAGACUAAGAAAAUAUCAUCCACCCUCUUAUAUUUGAUUGCAGUUCAUAGUUUGUCCUGCAGUCAGUGUUACAUUAGCCAGCAAGUUCCAUUUUCCUGAUGACUGAAGGUAAAACAUGUAAUCAUGGCGAGACCGGAUGCUAGAAGGAGAUGAAUUGAUGCUUAUUCAUGCAAGUCAGUGGGUUGAUAAAACAAAGAUCAACGGAUGCUAUGACCAAACUAUGCUCUUCUCACUAUUCUAAACAGAUUAGCGGUUUGACUUUCAAUGUGUAUGACAGUCCAGAAAGAUCAGGCAGUCCAACUGCUGUACCAUAAUACAUAGUUCUUCUGUAUAGUAUUUAUGAGGGAUGAGAGUGAUUAUAGGGAUUUUAGUUCUCAAAUAAACCAAGGUUUGUGCUUUCCCUUUAAUCGGUUAGGCAGAUAAUUUACUGUUAUUUUGUGCUCGUUAUCUGAUUCCUGGCCAUUGGCAUUUCUUUU